GGGAAGCAGCAAAGCGGGGAACGCAAAUGGCACUCUCGUCGGAGAGGAGGGCUGUGCGAGGGCCAGGAGUAAUAAAAAUCGGUGUGGUGCUUCUGGGGGACGUUCCGGAGUUUGGGUCAUCUUUAUAUCCUUUAGGUUUUAAGAGGUUUAAAAUUGACUUUUUUUGCGCAUUUUAGAUGUACAUAAAUUCUUUUUUUUAUUCGUCUGUCUUAAUGCUCAAAAUCCUAUUAGAUGCGACCAUACCGUGUGGUAUAGUGUCUAUAAUUUUUUCUUGAU
This 276-nucleotide unclassified non-coding RNA is filed under the name Rhizophagus sp. (in: glomeromycetes). RNAcentral describes it as "partial internal transcribed spacer 2". The record is from RNAcentral. Lineage: Eukaryota; Fungi; Glomeromycota; Glomeromycetes; Glomerales; Glomeraceae.